Molecule: long non-coding RNA, 2056 nt
Organism: Gasterosteus aculeatus aculeatus (three-spined stickleback)
Lineage: Eukaryota; Metazoa; Chordata; Actinopteri; Perciformes; Gasterosteidae
Source: Ensembl
UGGCCUCCAUCCUCCCUCCCCCUCUCCAUCCCUCCCCUCUGUCUCUCCUCCCCUCCCUCUGUCUGCCCCCCCCCUCUGAAGACAGGUUUGUUGCAGCUCUUCAGAUUCUUAUUAAAUCGUGAUGAUGGUUGCUGAAGCUGCCGGCAGACAGAAUGUCCUCCUCCCUCUAAGUGGAGCUUCCACUCCUGCUCCGCCCUCCCUACUGCUCCUCCAUCUGUGUCUCUCUGGGGGAGGGGGGCACUAGUGGAGGAGGAGGAGUCAGGCAGCUCCUACUCCAUGCCCAUGUAUGGCCGUCCUGUCAGGAGACACAAACAGAGACAGUGUGUGAGAGACGAACCAGGAGGACAGGAGGAGAAAGGGAGCCAUCAUGGAAAAGGGAGGUGGAGAAGGAGGAUAAGACAGAAGAGGAGAGGAGGAGGAGCAGGAGAGGAGAGGAGGAAGAGGAUGAGGAGGAUGAGACAGAAGGGAGGUGGAGAAGGAGGAGGAGACAGAAGAGGAGAGGAGCAGAAGGAGACAGAAGAAGAGAGGAGGAGGAGGAAGAGACAGAAGAGGAGAGGAGGAGGAGCAGGAGGAGGAGACAGAAGAGGAGAGGAGGAGGAGGAUGAGACAGAAGGGAGGAGGAGGAGGAGGAGGAGACAGAAGAGGAGAGGAGGAGGAGCAGGAGAGGAGAGGAGGAGGAGGAUGAGACAGAAGAGGAGGAGGAGGAGGAGGAGGAGGAGGAGACAGAAGAGGAGGAGGAGGAGGAGGAGACAGAAGAGGAGAUAAACUGCUUCCUUUAUGCAUCAAUACAGAUGCCAUCGUGCUGGUUUACAACCACUGCGUUAAUAGCAGUACUUCUACUCUGCAGUAUUACUAUGUUACUAGUUCUACUGUUCAAGAUAAAACUAUGAAGAUGCAGGUUAUAAAGAUGUUUUUAUUUUACUUUCGUUCUGCAUCAAUUAAUCUUCUUCUUCAGGUGAAACAUGGGGGCAAUGGUACAUGUGUACAUAUAUACAUGUACACAUGUAUAUAUGUACACAUGUAUAUAUGUACACAUGUAUACCUGUAUAUUCCAUUCAUUUCAUUUUCUAUGGCCCAAAAUCACAAAACGCCUCAAAGAGCUUUACACAUGCAUGAUGUACACAUGCGACAUCCUCUGACCUUUGACCCUCACAUUGACACAGGAACAAAGCCCCAACAAAUAAAAACCCCUCAAUGGGGAGAAAAGGGUUACGUGUGUGUGUGUGUCUGUGUGUGUGUGUGUGUGUGUCUGUGUGUGUGUGUGUGUGUGUGUGUCUGUGUGUGUGUGUGUGUGUGUCUGUGUGUGUGUGUGUGUGUGUGUGUGUGUGUCUGUGUGUGUGUGUGUGUCUGUGUGUGUGAUCUGUAUUAGAAAAAACAUUCAAACAUGAAGUACUGCACACGUCUUCAAACACCUGCACAGACAUCAUUACGUCUUAUUCAUUUUUAUUUUCCAUCUAAUGAUUAAAAACUUUCUAACAAAACAUUUGAUUGCAUUUAAUUUAACACAUUUGUCUCUUCUUUUAAAAUUUUUAUUUUAUUAUUUGUCUAUAUUUGUACUGUAUUUUACAUUGUUGCAUAUAUAGUACUACUACUCUGUGGUAAUACUAUGUAAUACUUUAUACUUUUACUCUGUGGUUCUAUGUAUUAUUAUUUUGAAAUACAGUAUCAGAGUACUUCUAAUCCCCAGUAAUACUACGUUUAAGUACUGAGUUCUGGGAGCUGAAGCGUUUCUUAGAAAACAAGCGACUGCUCCUUUAAACUUUGCAAACGUCGUCACUCAGCCGGAGUAACGAGACGAGAAGACGUGUUUCUGCUGGAAUGGAAACUGCACUCAACAUAUAAACACACACACACACACACACACACACACACACAGACACACACACACACACACACACACACACACACACAGACACACACACACACACACACACACACACACACACACACACACACACACACACAGACACACACACACACAGACACACACACACACACAGACACACACACACACACACACACACACACACACACACACACACACACAGACACACAC